This 468-nucleotide ribosomal RNA is filed under the name uncultured bacterium. Its description in RNAcentral is "partial 16S ribosomal RNA". It matches the Rfam family "Bacterial small subunit ribosomal RNA", at positions 28 to 507 of the family's 1533-position model. The record is from RNAcentral.
GACGAACGCUGGCGGCGUGCUUAACACAUGCAAGUCGAACGGAAAGGCCCUGCUUUUGUGGGGUGCUCGAGUGGCGAACGGGUGAGUAACACGUGAGUAACCUGCCCUUGACUUUGGGAUAACUUCAGGAAACUGGGGCUAAUACCGGAUAGGAGCUCCUGCUGCAUGGUGGGGGUUGGAAAGUUUCGGCGGUUGGGGAUGGACUCGCGGCUUAUCAGCUUGUUGGUGGGGUAGUGGCUUACCAAGGCUUUGACGGGUAGCCGGCCUGAGAGGGUGACCGGCCACAUUGGGACUGAGAUACGGCCCAGACUCCUACGGGAGGAAGCAGUGGGGAAUAUUGAACAAUGGGCGGAAGCCUGAUGCAGCAACGCCGCGUGCGGGAUGACGGCCUUCGGGUUGUAAACCGUUUUCGCCUGUGACGAAGCGUGAGUGACGGUAAUGGGUAAAGAAGCACCGGCUAACUACGUG